GUGAAUCAUCAAAUUUUUGAACGCAAAUUGCACUCUCCUCGGAGAGGAUGCCUGUUUGAGGGUCAGCCUAAAAAAAAUCGACAUCGUUGCUGUUCCGCGGUGACGUUCGGCGGAAAUUGGGGUAUUGUAAACCUUUUGGUUUAAGCGACUUAAAAUUAGCCUUUUGUUUACAUUUACGUUUCUAAGAUUUAUUGCUUUACACGUUUAAGGUAUCGAUUUUUAUGAGACGUUGCCGUCAU
Molecule: unclassified non-coding RNA, 239 nt
Filed under: Glomus sp.
Lineage: Eukaryota; Fungi; Glomeromycota; Glomeromycetes; Glomerales; Glomeraceae
Description: partial contains 5.8S ribosomal RNA and internal transcribed spacer 2
Rfam family: 5.8S ribosomal RNA (bases 1-65)
Source: RNAcentral